GGGCGAAAGCUGAUGGAGCACGCCGCGUGUGUGAUGAAGGGUUUCGGCUCGUAAAACACUGUUGUAAGAGAAGAAUGACAUUGAGAGUAACUGUUCAAUGUGUGACGGUAUCUUACCAGAAAGGAACGGCUAAAUACGUGCCAGCAGCCGCGGUAAUACGUAUGUUCCAAGCGUUAUCCGGAUUUAUUGGGCGUAAAGCGAGCGCAGACGGUUAUUUAAGUCUGAAGUGAAAGCCCUCAGCUCAACUGAGGAAUUGCUUUGGAAACUGGAUGACUUGAGUGCAGUAGAGGAAAGUGGAACUCCAUGUGUAGCGGUGAAAUGCGUAGAUAUAUGGAAGAACACCAGUGGCGAAGGCGGCUUUCUGGACUGUAACUGACGUUGAGGCUCGAAAGUGUGGGUAGCAAACAGGAUUAGAUACCCUGGUAGUCCACACCGUAAACGAUGAGUGCUAGGUGUUUGAGGGUUUCCGCCCUUAAGUGCCGCAGCUAACGCAUUAAGCACUCCGCCUUGGGGAGUACGACCGCAAGGUUGAAACUCAA
RNAcentral lists this ribosomal RNA (539 nucleotides) under Weissella confusa. RNAcentral describes it as "bacterial SSU rRNA". It matches the Rfam family "Bacterial small subunit ribosomal RNA", at positions 373 to 904 of the family's 1533-position model. The record is from RNAcentral. Lineage: Bacteria; Bacillati; Bacillota; Bacilli; Lactobacillales; Lactobacillaceae.